Molecule: ribosomal RNA, 532 nt
Filed under: uncultured bacterium
Lineage: Bacteria
Description: bacterial SSU rRNA
Rfam family: Bacterial small subunit ribosomal RNA
Source: RNAcentral
AGAGUUUGAUCCUGGCUCAGGACGAACGCUGGCGGCGCGCUUAACACAUGCAAGUCGAGCGAGAACCAGCCCUUCGGGGCUGGGGACAGCGGCGAACGGGUGAGUAACACGUGAGUAAUCCACCCUCGGCAUCGGGAUGGCCCGGGGAAACCCGGAUUAAUACCGAAUGGCCCAUUUGUCCUUCGGGAAUAAAUGGAAAAGGUAGCUUCGGCCUCUGGCCGGGGACGAGCUCGCGGCGGAUUAGCUUGUUGGUGGGGUAACGGCCCACCAAGGCGACGAUCCGUAGCUGGUCUGAGAGGACGAUCAGCCACACUGGGACUGAGACACGGCCCAGACUCCUACGGGAGGCAGCAGUGGGGAAUCUUGCGCAAUGGGCGAAAGCCUGACGCAGCGACGCCGCGUGAGGGAAGAAGGCCUUCGGGUUGUAAACCUCUUUCAGGAGGGACGAAGCCACUCGGGUGAAUAGCCCAGAGGGUGACGGUACCUCCAGAAGAAGCCCCGGCUAACUACGUGCCAGCCGCCGCGGUAAUAC